RNAcentral lists this ribosomal RNA (254 nucleotides) under uncultured bacterium. Its description in RNAcentral is "partial 16S ribosomal RNA". It matches the Rfam family "Bacterial small subunit ribosomal RNA", at positions 524 to 776 of the family's 1533-position model. The record is from RNAcentral.
UACGAAGGGGGGCUAGCGUUGCUCGGAUUGACUGGGCGUAAAGGGCGCGUAGGCGGUUCGUACAGUCAGACGUGAAAUUCCUGGGCUCAACCUGGGGGCUGCGUUUGAUACGUGCGGACUUGAGUGCGGAAGAGGGUCGUGGAAUUCCCAGUGUAGAGGUGAAAUUCGUAGAUAUUGGGAAGAACACCGGUGGCGAAGGCGGCGACCUGGUCCGAUACUGACGCUGAGGCGCGAAAGCGUGGGGAGCGAACAGG